Molecule: ribosomal RNA, 445 nt
Filed under: uncultured Lachnospiraceae bacterium
Lineage: Bacteria; Bacillati; Bacillota; Clostridia; Lachnospirales; Lachnospiraceae
Description: partial 16S ribosomal RNA
Rfam family: Bacterial small subunit ribosomal RNA
Source: RNAcentral
ACGGGAGGCAGCAGUGGGGGAUAUUGGACAAUGGGGGAAACCCUGAUCCAGCGACGCCGCGUGAGUGAAGAAGUAUUUCGGUAUGUAAAGCUCUAUCAGCAGGGAAGAAAAAGCGCAAGCAUUGACUGUACCUGACUAAGAAGCCCCGGCUAACUACGUGCCAGCAGCCGCGGUAAUACGUAGGGGGCAAGCGUUAUCCGGAUUUACUGGGUGUAAAGGGAGCGUAGGCGGUACGGCAAGUCAGGUGUGAAAACCCGGGGCUUAACUCCGGGACUGCACUUGAAACUGCUUGGCUUGAGUACGGGAGAGGCAAGUGGAAUUCCUAGUGUAGCGGUGAAAUGCGUAGAUAUUAGGAAGAACACCAGUGGCGAAGGCGACUUGCUGGACCGCAACUGACGCUGAGGCUCGAAAGCGUGGGGAGCAAACAGGAUUAGAUACCCUGGUA